Miniopterus natalensis is the source of this 439-nucleotide long non-coding RNA. RefSeq lists it as uncharacterized. NCBI's taxonomy places the organism in Eukaryota, Metazoa, Chordata, Mammalia, Chiroptera, Miniopteridae. The record is from RefSeq and is a predicted model, not a curated record.
UGCCAAGUGUAUCGGCUAACCUAGCACACGGGGGCCGGGCAACUCCUUAUGUUGGUUGCACCGAGGCAAUAGGGCCAGAACCUGCUUUUUUAACGUUGGCGUGGCCUCAGCGUGAAGGCGGCUCCCCCUAAGCCCGAGGCAAAAAGAAAAUGACACUGAAGUUCCGGGAUCGGAUGUCGGCCUCCCAGAAUUUUACUUUGCAAACUUCGCAGUGUCUCAGGCUGAGUUAUUCCUGGGAAAAUCUGCACAGACCCCCCUCGAAGCACCGUGAACAAGCCCAGCCCACGCCCAGCGCGCUUCGCGGCCCCCGCGCGCGUCCUGCUCGCUUCCCGCCGUGUGUAUUAUGACUGAGCUCAGCCGAGUGAGAUUUUCUGUAGCUAUGCUCAAGUUACGUUAGAGGCAUACACCCGCAGAGAAGAAAUUAAAAAAUUUGAACUGG